Exaiptasia diaphana is the source of this 753-nucleotide long non-coding RNA. RefSeq lists it as uncharacterized. The record is from RefSeq and is a predicted model, not a curated record. Lineage: Eukaryota; Metazoa; Cnidaria; Anthozoa; Actiniaria; Aiptasiidae. The transcript has 3 exons.
GUGACAUGCUGUGAUGUAGAGAUCACCGCUGAAAGGAAUUCACCGAAACUUUCCACUUAUUUUCAUUUCUUUCACUGCAAAAAGUUCCCUUCCACAAAUAACAAAGCUAAAGAGCAAGAUGGUCGCACGAUAUCUCCACAACAAAAUAUGGUUUCAUAGAAGAUUUCAUUUUCAUUUAAAAUUAAUACAGGUGUGUUUGUCUGACAAAUAAGAGACAGGCUACGUUAAUUUUUUAUACUUGUUACGGGAUCACAAAAAAACCAAUAUGCACAAAGUCCUAAUAGUGUUGUUCGCUCGGCUGUCAGGAGAUGUUGAGCGUGAAACCAAAACUAUGCUUUACUACUGUCCCAAAACAUACUUUACAAAAAAGUGAUCAUAACGAGGACAUAAUGGUAUCAUUGUACUUUUUACGUUCACAACAAUGGAGGAAGGAACGUGAUUUGAGGGGGUUUUGUAGUUUGUAUAUGGAAGGAUGACAAAUAAGCCGAUAUAUUAACGGUAGCCCAAGGAAUCUGAUGUUGAUGCUGUUGCUCAUCAGAUAGGACAGUGCGACAUAACAGUGUGUUUAUCAAUCAACCGAUAGACGCUAACUAAGGAGUGUUCCCUCUGCUACCAAGACGCAAGAUAGAAGGUAAAAAGGAAACCGUUCAAGACGAAAGGCCAUGUGUUAGGGUGGAUUUAGCCUUAGUUUGCUUUUAUAACAAAGUGUCCAGCAAUUCAUAAUGAUUUGUACAAUAAACAAGCCAAACUAAA